This is a long non-coding RNA of Chelonus insularis, 357 nucleotides long. RefSeq lists it as uncharacterized. The record is from RefSeq and is a predicted model, not a curated record. The transcript is spliced from 3 exons. NCBI's taxonomy places the organism in Eukaryota, Metazoa, Arthropoda, Insecta, Hymenoptera, Braconidae.
UAUAGAACCAGUUAGUGAAGUGCUUUUAAAAUGGCAAGAAAGUUUUAAAGAAAGAUUGGCUUAUCAUACAGAACGAAUUGAUAUGUAUUUUAAUACAUUCAAUGUAUUGAAGACACCAUCUGCUUAUUUAUUGUUUGAAUCAGAUUUUAAACAAAUUCAUAAAGAGGCAGUUGAUAAAUUAAUUCUAAAAUGGCCAUCGGUUGCAAAAAAAUUAUUAAUAUUAGUAAGAAACGAAAAGAUUAUCAAGUAUCGCAAUACCUCAAGACUAAUAAUAUAUUAUUGGCGAACGAUUCAGAUCUUGGUAAUAUUGAGAUUAUUGCCCUUGAAUUACUUCCAUUACUAUUGGGUACAAUAAAC